This 233-nucleotide long non-coding RNA is filed under the name Elaeis guineensis (African oil palm). RNAcentral describes it as "long non-coding RNA (EGUI_LNC015588)". Lineage: Eukaryota; Viridiplantae; Streptophyta; Magnoliopsida; Arecales; Arecaceae. The record is from RNAcentral.
UGGAGAUUUUUAGAUUAAUUUGGAUCUCAAGAUAUAUGACCCGAUCCGAUCUGAAUCGGAUCCAAAUAUAAGAUCCGAACUCAAUUAGAAUGGCUCAUCCAAAUAAGAAUUUGGGCUUGGAUCAAAAGAGUGACUCAUCCAAAUUUUUUCUUAAAUUUCUUACUAAAAUCUUUAAUACUGUCACACUGUCACAAGAUCAUUAAUACACUGCACAAGAAAUGCCAUUCUUACAG